GACGAACGCUGGCGGCGUGCUUAACACAUGCAAGUCGUACGGUAAGGCCCUUUCGGGGGUACACGAGUGGCGAACGGGUGAGUAACACGUGAGUAACCUGCCCACAACUUUGGGAUAACGCUAGGAAACUGGUGCUAAUACUGGAUAUGUGCUCCUGCUGCAUGGUGGGGGUUGGAAAGCUCCGGCGGUUGUGGAUGGACUCGCGGCCUAUCAGCUUGUUGGUGGGGUCGUGGCCUACCAAGGCGGCGACGGGUAGCCGGCCUGAGAGGGUGACCGGCCACAUUGGGACUGAGAUACGGCCCAGACUCCUACGGGAGGCAGCAGUGGGGAAUAUUGCACAAUGGGCGCAAGCCUGAUGCAGCAACGCCGCGUGCGGGAUGACGGCCUUCGGGUUGUAAACCGCUUUCAGCAGGGACGAAGCUUUUUGUGACGGUACCUGCAGAAGAAGCACCGGCUAACUACGUG
This 465-nucleotide ribosomal RNA is filed under the name uncultured bacterium. RNAcentral's name for it is "partial 16S ribosomal RNA". It matches the Rfam family "Bacterial small subunit ribosomal RNA", at positions 28 to 507 of the family's 1533-position model. The record is from RNAcentral.